RNAcentral lists this long non-coding RNA (806 nucleotides) under Physcomitrium patens. Its description in RNAcentral is "long non-coding RNA (PPAT_LNC007984)". The record is from RNAcentral. Lineage: Eukaryota; Viridiplantae; Streptophyta; Bryopsida; Funariales; Funariaceae.
GUUUAGGGUUUAGGUUAGGGUUUGAUUUAGGAUUUGGAUUAGGAUUUGGAUUAGGGUUUAGAUUAGGGUUUGGAUUAGGGUUUGAAUUAGGGUUUAGAGUUUGGUUAGGGUUUGAUUUAGGAUUUGAUUAGGGUUUGAUUUAUGGUUUGGAUUAGGGUUUGAAUUAGGAUUUAGGAUUUGGUUAGGGUUUGAUUUAGGAUUUGGAUUAGGGUUUGAAUUAGGGUUUAAGAUUUGGUUAGGGUUUGAUUUAGGAUUUGGAUUAGGAUUUGAUUAGGAUUUAAUUUAAGAUUUGGUUUAGGAUUUAGGAUUUGAUUAGAGUUUGGAUUAGGGUUUAGAAUUUGAUUUAUGGUUUGAUUUAGGGUCUGGUUUAGGGUUUGAUUUAGAGUUUGGUUUAGGGUUUGAUUUAUAGUUUGGUUUAGGAUUUAGGAUUUGAAAUAGGAUUUGAUUUAGGAUUUAAUUUAAGGUUUAUUUAGGAUUUGACUUAGGAUUUAGGAUUUAUUAGGGUUUAAGAUUUAAUUAAGUUUGGUUUAAAGUUUGAGUGAAAUUUAAUAGGAUUUUAACUAGAAUUAAAUUAAGGUUGAAUUGAUAUAUAUAUUUGAGUAAUAUUUGUGAUCAUUCUAAUAUUUCUUUAAAAAUUUUAUUGUUUGUUUGAAAUUUCUUUGAGUUGUUUUGAAUUUGAUUACGUUUGUUUACCAUUAUUAUAGUCUAAUUAGAGCAUUGUUAGUAUUCUAUUAGAAUUAGGAUUUUGUUAUCACAAUUUCUAUUCUUUCUUCUACAGCCAGGUGCCCGGAGCAUUCUCAAGCAAG